RNAcentral lists this long non-coding RNA (644 nucleotides) under Homo sapiens (human). RNAcentral describes it as "non-protein coding lnc-GGCT-1:1". Lineage: Eukaryota; Metazoa; Chordata; Mammalia; Primates; Hominidae. The record is from RNAcentral.
ACAUUCACCACCGCGUGACGCGGCGCCGGGUCGCCGCCGCAGAUUCGACACAAAACCCGGAAGGACCCCGCCGAAGGUUUUCUCCGGUUCGGGAGAGAGACGGAGUCCCGCUCUGUCACGCAGGCUGCCAGGCUGGCGUACAGUGGCGCAAUCUCAGCUCGCUGCAACCUCCACCUCCUGGGUUCAAGCGAUUUUCUUGCCUCUGCCUCCUGAGUAGCUGGGAUUACUGGCACACACCACCAUGCACAGUUCCUUGUUCAAAAUGCCAAGAACCUGGAUGACUCAUAGUCAAGACCCUCCACCAGUAACAUAUAUUGGCGAGCCAGCCAGGAGCUUGGAACCCUCGGUGGACAGUGCCUAAGCACAGAGGCAACCACAGGUUUCUAACAGGGCCACUCUCUGGUGAAACUGAAAGGUUUCUGUGUGAAAGUGCCUGACCACCACUGCCCAAUUCAGACCACUACAGGAAACACUCCAUUUAUUCCACCUGACUUCCCACUUGGCUGCAUCCUCAACCAUUGAAAUGAAUUUGACCCUGAUAAUCUAAGGAGGAAACAUUUGAUAUUCUUUUGCAAUAAUACUUGGCCCCAGUAUUGUUUGGAAUCUGGAGUUUGCUGUUGAAUGGGAAAGCAGGAUGACGUUGC